CCUCAUCGUCGAAUCAUAAACACUAUGUAUCAUUAAAUUAUUAAUUUGUGGAGUAUUAAAUUAUUGAAAUUCUACUGAAUAUAAAUUAGUCACAGAAAUGUUCGAAUCAUACCUUCCAUGAAAAUGUUACCAAGAAAAUAAAGUGUGCCAUUACCCCUUAAAUAUUAUACUUUUGAAGAGUAUAAUAGUACCCUUAUUAGAUAUUCUCACCCCAAAAGAACCCAUUGAAAAUCCAAGAAUUGUCCAUGUUAGCUCAAUUAAGUUGAUAUUUUCUUAGGGCCGAGUCGAGAACAACCCAAGGAAAAGGGACUUUAGCUACCUGAAGAAUCUGUCAUCAACAUUAGAAAUUUAGUUCAUUAUGACAUGAAGGGUCGAAAAAACUCUAAAAAGAAAGAAGUGUAAUAUACAAGAUCACAAACAGUGACUAUUACCCAUCCAACUUACCAAUCGAUACCAGAUUGUGCUCUUAUUUUAGUCACAGAAGUUCCAACCACUUAGUAGAAGCAAGUGAACAACCGGAAAAGAUUACAAAUAUGCUGUUUUUGGCUAAGCUUACAAGCACACCUGUUAAGGUGCUUAUAAGCACGGCCAAACAUGCUCUAAAUCAAGAUGUACAGAAUUGCUUUUUCCAUUUUGACGAACGAUGACCAAGCAGACUACAAUCAGAGUUGAAGACUUACAUUUAAAAUAUUUCUGAGAAACCUACUGAAAGAUUUAAAAGAACAAACUCCAGCUGGUAGUAUUUUCAAACAGCUUUCUUCAUCUCCUGCUUCCAGCAGAAAAUGCAUCAAUCUGCUUCUUCAUGAUUCGUUUGGUAGGGCAAACCGUGCAGACAAUACUAUAAAAUAAAAUAAAAGUUGCAAUCUUGUGGUGGGUAUUAUGC
This 883-nucleotide long non-coding RNA is filed under the name Olea europaea subsp. europaea. The record is from RNAcentral. Lineage: Eukaryota; Viridiplantae; Streptophyta; Magnoliopsida; Lamiales; Oleaceae.